Molecule: long non-coding RNA, 1305 nt
Organism: Hyla sarda
Lineage: Eukaryota; Metazoa; Chordata; Amphibia; Anura; Hylidae
Exons: 4
Source: RefSeq, a predicted model, not a curated record
GAAAAAGGGAGCGAGAGGAGAAUCGCUGGGAGGAGAGGCUGGAGCGGAGGCUGAAGGGACGGACACCGGGAUAUACGGACGGGAGGUGUGUCCGCCGGGAUAGAGUUAUAUGCCGGCCCUCUACAUGUGUGUGAAAAGACUUAAUUUUAUUAGAUGGAAAAGGGAAAACAUUUCUCAAAGCAAAUGCGAUUCUUCUGAUGCGGUAACCAAUCAACUUUUUCCUGCAGAAGGGAACAAGCCCUGAAUAUGAUUACAAACUAAUGUGAAGAAUCCAAAAUGGAAAGUUUCAGUCGGAUUUCAGUGGGAUUCUGUUGCAUUUGGAAGUUUCUCUUUGGAGCUUUUGAUUAGGAAUUUACCUGGCGUUGGCAUGAAGAAGGAUGGUCACGUUUCCUGAGGAAGGGUCCUUUCUGGACCAGAAGCGCAUUGUUUUAUGUGCCAAUACACCAUAUUUUAGGACAUAAGCUUGUGUCCGAGUCCCUAACCAAGUUGGACCCGCGGCGGGAGAGCCUCUAUUUUACUUUAUUGCCAUUGUUUAUCCACCAGACUAGCAAAGCUAUCACCAGACGAGCCAUGGCUGCAGGUCCCAGACUAUAUCAUGAUGUCUUCUUAGGUGUUAUGCUCUGAGCGCAACCCUACUCGUUUGACAAGCUGACAUUCACAUGAAUAAACAAACAAAGCAUGUAUCAGUGCCGGUAGGUAAUAAAUAACAAAAAUAUUAAUUCCCUAAUAGUCAACAGAGACCAGAGAAUGAGUAAAUGUAUGGUGGCACAAAUGAGUGAUGAUAAUGUCAGGAAUGAAGCAAAAGAUGAUGAGCAGAACAAGUACUAAACCUGAGCCUAUCUAGUUAUCCCUUAUGCUACCCGAGUUCUUUCCCUAAACAAUAACACCACACAACAAUAAACUUUACUGUACCGGCAAAUAUAUCUAUGCCCUUUAACCCUGGUUUACAAACUUUCUGAAGCAGAACAAGCUGUCACUGGAACCCUAAACCAAAGCAAGACUAAACAGAAACCUUAAACACAAGAACCAAACAAGAAGAUAAGCUGAAAUUCACAACAACAACUUUAACCCCUUAAGGACUCAGGGUUUUUCCGUUUUUGCACUUUCGUUUUUUCCUCCUUACCUUUUAAAAAUCAUAACCCUUUCAAUUUUCCACCUAAAAAUCCAUAUUAUGGCUUAUUUUUUGCGUCGCCAAUUCUACUUUGCAGUGACAUUAGUCAUUUUACCCAAAAAUGCACGGCGAAACGGAAAAAAAAAUCAUUGUGCGACAAAAUCGAAAAAAAAACGCCAUUUUGUAACUUUUGG